ACACCGCCUCCGAGCGGUGUUCGUGGCCUCGAACGGGCCCAUGAGGCGGGGGUGGUGCCGUGUCGGCGCAGCACCACCCCUUCCGG
RNAcentral lists this non-coding RNA (86 nucleotides) under Streptomyces cellostaticus. RNAcentral's name for it is "Streptomyces RNA 6106". It matches the Rfam family "Streptomyces RNA 6106". Rfam says of the family: Identified by deep sequencing of transcriptome at the end of exponential growth phase. The record is from Rfam by way of RNAcentral. Lineage: Bacteria; Bacillati; Actinomycetota; Actinomycetes; Kitasatosporales; Streptomycetaceae.